GUAUAGGAUUUAUGGGCCUUGUAAAGAGCCCAGACUGACAUUCAAUAUCAUACAUUGAGUUGAUAAGACAUAGACCAGGCUAUCCAAGGACAGCCAGAGGCAGAUCCUCAAUCACAGGAGUGCAGAGCACACCUGCAUGGUGACAACCUGGUCUACAGAAAGUGCACAGGUGGAAGGGAGAAUGAAACAAUGGCAGGCGUGCACAUGCCUCCGAGGAGACCAGCAACAACCCACACAAGUUUAUUCACUAAUGAUCCUUCCGCAGGUUCACCUACGGAAA
RNAcentral lists this unclassified non-coding RNA (280 nucleotides) under uncultured fungus. RNAcentral's name for it is "sequence contains ITS1". The record is from RNAcentral. Lineage: Eukaryota; Fungi.